UGCCAGCAGCCGCGGUAAUACGGAGGAUCCAAGCGUUAUCCGGAAUUAUUGGGUUUAAAGGGUCCGUAGGCGGGCAUAUAAGUCAGUGGUGAAAUGCUGUGGCUCAACCAUAGCACUGCCAUUGAUACUGUAUGUCUCGAAUUAUUGUGAAGUGGUUAGAAUAUGUAGUGUAGCGGUGAAAUGCUUAGAUAUUACAUAGAGUACCGAUUGCGAAGGCAGAUCACUAACAAUAUAUUGACGCUGAUGGACGAAAGCGUAGGUAGCGAAUGGGAUUAGAUA
This 279-nucleotide ribosomal RNA is filed under the name uncultured bacterium. RNAcentral's name for it is "partial 16S ribosomal RNA". It matches the Rfam family "Bacterial small subunit ribosomal RNA", at positions 506 to 784 of the family's 1533-position model. The record is from RNAcentral.